Molecule: non-coding RNA, 29 nt
Filed under: Mus musculus (house mouse)
Lineage: Eukaryota; Metazoa; Chordata; Mammalia; Rodentia; Muridae
Source: RNAcentral
GAGUUCAAUCUCAGGACCACAUGAUGGAU